AGAAUCAACGCUGGCGGCGUGCCUAACACAUGCAAGUCGAACGAGAAAGGGGUUUCGGCCCUGAGUAUAGUGGCGUACGGGUGAGUAACACGUGAAUCAUCUACCUCCGAGUGGGGAAUAACCAAGAGAAAUCUUGGCUAAUACCGCAUAACACUUACGAGUCAAAGCAGCAAUGCGCUUGGAGAGGAGUUCGCGGCAGAUUAGUUAGUUGGCGGGGUAAUGGCCCACCAAGACGAUGAUCUGUA
Molecule: ribosomal RNA, 245 nt
Filed under: uncultured bacterium
Lineage: Bacteria
Description: partial small subunit ribosomal RNA
Rfam family: Bacterial small subunit ribosomal RNA
Source: RNAcentral